GGGUGUGGCUUAGUUGGUAGAGUGUUUGCCCAGCAUGCAGAAAACCCUGGGUUCCAUUCCCAACACACCCA
RNAcentral lists this transfer RNA (71 nucleotides) under Neotoma lepida (desert woodrat). It matches the Rfam family "tRNA". Rfam says of the family: Transfer RNA (tRNA) molecules are approximately 80 nucleotides in length. Their secondary structure includes four short double-helical elements and three loops (D, anti-codon, and T loops). Further hydrogen bonds mediate the characteristic L-shaped molecular structure. tRNAs have two regions of fundamental functional importance: the anti-codon, which is responsible for specific mRNA codon recognition, and the 3' end, to which the tRNAs corresponding amino acid is attached (by aminoacyl-tRNA synthetases). tRNAs cope with the degeneracy of the genetic code in two manners: having more than one tRNA (with a specific anti-codon) for a particular amino acid; and 'wobble' base-pairing, i.e. permitting non-standard base-pairing at the 3rd anti-codon position. The record is from Rfam by way of RNAcentral. Lineage: Eukaryota; Metazoa; Chordata; Mammalia; Rodentia; Cricetidae.